RNAcentral lists this microRNA (23 nucleotides) under Ascaris suum (pig roundworm). RNAcentral's name for it is "asu-miR-44b-5p". Its record names the gene asu-miR-44b-5p. The record is from miRBase by way of RNAcentral. Lineage: Eukaryota; Metazoa; Nematoda; Chromadorea; Rhabditida; Ascarididae.
ACUGGAUGUGUGUCAUAGUCAUG